RNAcentral lists this transfer RNA (69 nucleotides) under Bos taurus (domestic cattle). It matches the Rfam family "tRNA". From Rfam's summary of the family: Transfer RNA (tRNA) molecules are approximately 80 nucleotides in length. Their secondary structure includes four short double-helical elements and three loops (D, anti-codon, and T loops). RNAcentral also lists the same sequence under 1 other name. The record is from Rfam by way of RNAcentral. Lineage: Eukaryota; Metazoa; Chordata; Mammalia; Artiodactyla; Bovidae.
CCUGGUGGCUCAGAGGUUAAAGCAUCUGCCUGCAAUGCAGAGGACCUGGGUUUGAUCCCUGAGUCAGGA